This 796-nucleotide ribosomal RNA is filed under the name fungal sp. RNAcentral describes it as "SSU rRNA". It matches the Rfam family "Eukaryotic small subunit ribosomal RNA", at positions 167 to 972 of the family's 1831-position model. Lineage: Eukaryota; Fungi. The record is from RNAcentral.
AUACAUGCUAAAAACCCCGACUUCGGAAGGGGUGUAUUUAUUAGAUAAAAAACCAAUGCCCUUCGGGGCUCUCUGGUGAAUCAUAAUAACUUCACGAAUCGCAUGGCCUUGCGCCGGCGAUGGUUCAUUCAAAUUUCUGCCCUAUCAACUUUCGAUGGUAAGAUAGAGGCUUACCAUGGUUUCAACGGGUAACGGGGAAUUAGGGUUCGACUCCGGAGAGGGAGCCUGAGAAACGGCUACCACAUCCAAGGAAGGCAGCAGGCGCGCAAAUUACCCAAUCCCGACACGGGGAGGUAGUGACAAUAAAUACUGAUACAGGGCUCUUUUGGGUCUUGUAAUUGGAAUGAGUACAAUUUAAAUCCCUUAACGAGGAACAAUUGGAGGGCAAGUCUGGUGCCAGCAGCCGCGGUAAUUCCAGCUCCAAUAGCGUAUAUUAAAGUUGUUGCAGUUAAAAAGCUCGUAGUUGAACCUUGGGCCUGGCUGGCCGGUCCGCCUCACCGCGUGUACUGGUCCGGCCGGGCCUUUCCUUCUGGGGAGCCGCAUGCCCUUCACUGGGCGUGUCGGGGAACCAGGACUUUUACUUUGAAAAAAUUAGAGUGUUCAAAGCAGGCCUUUGCUCGAAUACAUUAGCAUGGAAUAAUAGAAUAGGACGUGUGGUUCUAUUUUGUUGGUUUCUAGGACCGCCGUAAUGAUUAAUAGGGAUAGUCGGGGGCAUCCGUAUUCAAUUGUCAGAGGUGAAAUUCUUGGAUUUAUUGAAGACGAACUACUGCGAAAGCAUUUGCCAAGGAUGUUUUCA